This 465-nucleotide ribosomal RNA is filed under the name Vreelandella stevensii. RNAcentral describes it as "partial 16S ribosomal RNA". It matches the Rfam family "Bacterial small subunit ribosomal RNA", at positions 338 to 795 of the family's 1533-position model. Lineage: Bacteria; Pseudomonadati; Pseudomonadota; Gammaproteobacteria; Oceanospirillales; Halomonadaceae. The record is from RNAcentral.
CCUACGGGCGGCAGCAGUGGGGAAUAUUGGACAAUGGGCGAAAGCCUGAUCCAGCCAUGCCGCGUGUGUGAAGAAGGCCUUCGGGUUGUAAAGCACUUUCAGUGGGGAAGAAAGCCUUGGGGCUAAUACCCUCGAGGAAGGACAUCACCCACAGAAGAAGCACCGGCUAACUCCGUGCCAGCAGCCGCGGUAAUACGGAGGGUGCGAGCGUUAAUCGGAAUUACUGGGCGUAAAGCGCGCGUAGGCGGUCUGAUAAGCCGGUUGUGAAAGCCCCGGGCUCAACCUGGGAACGGCAUCCGGAACUGUCAGGCUAGAGUGCAGGAGAGGAAGGUAGAAUUCCCGGUGUAGCGGUGAAAUGCGUAGAGAUCGGGAGGAAUACCAGUGGCGAAGGAGGCCUUCUGGACUGACACUGACGCUGAGGUGCGAAAGCGUGGGUAGCAAACAGGAUUAGAUACCCGGGUAGUC